AAAACAAGGUGUCCAGUGUUUGGAUAAUAUUUUCAAAGAAAAUACUUAAUUGUUAUAUUAAACUGCAAUAUGAACAACAUUAGUGAGUAAAAACUGCCUUUAUCAAAAUCAUAAAAAUGAAAAUUAAAAUAGGAG
Long non-coding RNA from Thalassophryne amazonica, 135 nucleotides. RefSeq lists it as uncharacterized. The record is from RefSeq and is a predicted model, not a curated record. The transcript has 3 exons. NCBI's taxonomy places the organism in Eukaryota, Metazoa, Chordata, Actinopteri, Batrachoidiformes, Batrachoididae.